This 382-nucleotide ribosomal RNA is filed under the name uncultured eukaryote. RNAcentral's name for it is "partial 18S ribosomal RNA". It matches the Rfam family "Eukaryotic small subunit ribosomal RNA", at positions 592 to 976 of the family's 1831-position model. The record is from RNAcentral.
UGUAAGCGUAUACCAAAGUUGUUGCAGUUAAAACGCUCGUAGUCGGAACUUGGCAGUUCCGGAAGUGUGCACGUCGUGUGCGCACUUUGCAGGGACUGCUUUUGUGGUCUUGCGUAGGAUGAGGCACUUUUAUUAGUGAACGUCCUCACGCAACCACUCUUUACUGUGAGAAAAUCAGAGUGCUCAAAGCAGGCAUUUGCCGUGAAUGUAUUAGCAUGGAAUAAUAGAAUAGGACUCGGUUCUAUUUUGUUGGUUUGUUGGGACUGAGUAAUGAUUAAGAGGGACAGUUGGGGGCAUUUGUAUUUCGGCGCUAGAGGUGAAAUUCUUAGAUUGCCGAAAGACAAACUGCUGCGAAAGCGUCUGCCAAGGAUGUUUUCAUUGA